Molecule: ribosomal RNA, 207 nt
Filed under: uncultured bacterium
Lineage: Bacteria
Description: partial 16S ribosomal RNA
Rfam family: Bacterial small subunit ribosomal RNA
Source: RNAcentral
UACGUAGGCGGCAUAGUUAGUCGGUUGUUAAAGCACCGGGCUCAACCCGGGACAGGCAACCGAAACGGCUAAGCUAGAGGAUGUGAGAGGUAAGUGGAACUCAUGGUGUAGGGGUGAAAUCCGUUGAUAUCAUGGGGAACACCAAAAGCGAAGGCAACUUACUGGCACAUUCCUGACGCUGAGGUACGAAAGCGUGGGUAGCGAAUG